RNAcentral lists this long non-coding RNA (1198 nucleotides) under Rattus norvegicus (Norway rat). RNAcentral describes it as "long non-coding RNA NONRATT033994". The record is from RNAcentral. Lineage: Eukaryota; Metazoa; Chordata; Mammalia; Rodentia; Muridae.
UGAGAUUUCAAAAUAAAAUGGGAUUUUAACUGUUUCUGCUUCCAGUUCUAAUCUAUAUCUGUCUUAAAGUUAUAAUAUGAUGUAUGAAAGUGUUGUUAGAAAGUAAUUCUCAAAGGAAAAUGAAACUUAUACUUCAGAUGACUUUACAUUUAUUAAUAUUUUUAGAAUCAUACUUUAGCAUACAGUAUUUAAAUUAACAUGUGAAAACAAGCCUACCGUAGUAUCUGGUUGAAGUCCCUGAGUUUUCCUGUGCAUUAGUCCCAAGUGGGAGAGUGAAUGAGCAAAGCUGUGGAAUUGCUUCAAACUGCUGAAUAAAGUUUCAGGGCCCAGCAGCUUAACUCCCAUGUGGAAUUCAACAGCAGAUUCCAUGUGGUGGAAGUCCUGGCCAACAUUCCUUCUCGGGGUGAACUGCAGGGUGUUACAUGGGAGAAUGUACUGAAGACACUUGAAGUUGCAGCACCAGGGCAGCUACAGCAUGCUGCCGUCUGCCCUGUUACCCUGUGCACGAAUCUUUUAGUGAAUGCUAGUUUAUAAAUCUUUUUAAAAUCUGGCCUUUAUUUUUGUGCCUUUCUGGUAUAGAAGACAUUUACUUUUGAAUGAAAUAGAACACCAAACUGAGCAUAGUCUUUGUUCUUAAUUUAAUGAGAACUAAGAAUUUUGUCCCCAUACUAUAAUUAAUACAUUAAAAAUUUAUAUAUAAAGUAAGUUUUAAAACAGAUUAUUUUAUAGAUUUGUCCUUUAGGGUGGUGGGUGUUGUUUUCUGGGGGUUGGGGAGCAUUCAAGAUAAGGUUUCUCUAUAUAGCCUUGGCUGUCUUGGAAUUCACUUUAAGAAGAGGCUGGCCUUGGACUCAGAUCUACCUGCCUCUGCCUCCUGAGUGCUAGAUUAAAGGUGUGUGCCACCACCUCCUGGCUGUCCUUUGGUUUUAAAACCCUUUAUUUUAGUUCAUAAGAGUGUGAAAAUAGUUUGAUUCCAUAAUUUUGUAAUAGCAAAAAUUUUUACUGAAUGAAAUUUUAUAUUUACUCUUAGAAAACUCAAGUAGGGAGAGGGUGUAGUGGUGAACACCUUUAAUCCUUUAAUCCCAGCACCUAGGAGGCAUAGACAGGUGGAUCUCUGCUGGUUCAGCCUACACCGUGAAUUCCAGGUCAUCCAGGGCUACAUAAUGAGACUGUCUUAAAAAAAAAAAACAAAAAACAAAAA